RNAcentral lists this ribosomal RNA (493 nucleotides) under uncultured bacterium. Its description in RNAcentral is "bacterial SSU rRNA". It matches the Rfam family "Bacterial small subunit ribosomal RNA", at positions 28 to 507 of the family's 1533-position model. The record is from RNAcentral.
GAUGAACGCUAGCUACAGGCUUAACACAUGCAAGUCGAGGGGAAACGAUAGAGAAAGCUUGCUUUUUCUAGGCGUCGACCGGCGCACGGGUGAGUAACACGUAUCCAACCUGCCGAUGACUCGGGGAUAGCCUUUCGAAAGAAAGAUUAAUACCCGAUGGCAUAGUUCUUCCGCAUGGUAGAACUAUUAAAGAAUUUCGGUCAUCGAUGGGGAUGCGUUCCAUUAGGUUGUUGGCGGGGUAACGGCCCACCAAGCCUUCGAUGGAUAGGGGUUCUGAGAGGAAGGUCCCCCCACAUUGGAACUGGGACACGGUCCAAACUCCUACGGGAGGCAGCAGUGAGGAAUAUUGGUCAAUGGGACGAGAGUCUGAACCAGCCAAGUAGCGUGAAGGAUGACUGCCCUAUGGGUUGUAAACUUCUUUUAUACGGGAAUAAAGUGAGGCACGUGUGCCUUUUUGUAUGUACCGUAUGAAUAAGGAUCGGNUAACUCCGUG